This is a long non-coding RNA of Macrobrachium nipponense, 727 nucleotides long. RefSeq lists it as uncharacterized. Lineage: Eukaryota; Metazoa; Arthropoda; Malacostraca; Decapoda; Palaemonidae. The transcript has 3 exons. The record is from RefSeq and is a predicted model, not a curated record.
UCACUCACGUUCGUAAAGCAGGGCGAUGACUCGACUUUUUUCACAUAGAAGUGGUAGUCGGUGGUUGUUUCGCGGUUCUGCUCAUUAGAGUUUGUGUUGAGAUAUUGCCGAUUGGUUUUUCCUUCGUUGACCGUGAUUUGAUGUGGAUUCUCAGACGAGUGGUGACUGGUGCGACUGGUGGUGGCUUCUCGGACAUCAUGUCGGUAACUAUUUUCUUAAUCUGAGUCACAAGGUCUUGCUGGUGUAAUUAACAACAGUUAAUAAACUGCAGAUUGGUCCUAUCACGGAAAUAUUAAGAGCCCUGGGACUGCGGUUUCUAUCAGGUCAUGGACUGUAAUUCGGCAUGCCUGCGUAUAGAAAUUGAAAGUUGGUACAUGUUCUUCUAGGAUUUGAAAUUUAAGUUUCUCAAGAAAGACUUUCAUCAAGGUUUUGUCUUGAAACUGCUGAAGAAAACUGAAGUUAAUGGAAGAAUGUCUUUUAUAAUAACUGAGUUGUAAUUAAAAAUCUAAUUUUCUAUAUUUCUACCAAACUGUUUCUAAGAAAUAAAACUUUUAAUAGGUAUCACUAUUGCAUUUAUCUUUCAAGUACUAAUUUCAAGAAAUGUUCUAAAAGGUAUCAAACCGGUAUAACAUGGUUUGUGAUAAUUUCUGCCAUAACUACAAUGUAUGGUUGAUUUGCAAUCUAUUCUAUUUUAUGAAAUUCAUCACUUAAUUUUUGCUAAAAUCUG